This 856-nucleotide ribosomal RNA is filed under the name Triticum aestivum (bread wheat). Its description in RNAcentral is "partial small subunit ribosomal RNA". Lineage: Eukaryota; Viridiplantae; Streptophyta; Magnoliopsida; Poales; Poaceae. The record is from RNAcentral.
AAGGGCGGAGUCCUCCCCCCCUCCCCCGCGCGAGGAAGAGCAGAGGAAGUGUGUUCCGCCUCGCCGGAGUUUACCCGCCGCGCGCGUCCGCCCCGCAGCCAUCGCCCAUCGGGGUGCAGAAGCACCAUCCACGAGGCGGAACCGCCCGUGGGACUUGCGGUGGGCGUCAAAGAGGGCGGAGCACAGUCGCCGCUGCCGCGCCGGAGUUGGUGGGGACGCCACCCUCGAAACCCUAGCCAUGGGAAGGGGUCGGGGAUGAGCUCCCGGGGCCGCGAGAGGCGGAUCUGGCCGGAAGGAAGGGAAGAGCGGAGGCAGGGGAGCUCGGAUCUGUGCUGCGCGCCGGCGAGGCCGCCGGAACAUGCCGGAAUCGAGCGGCGUAGGUGGCGGCGGCGACGGUUUCGGGGGGAGGGAGAGACGAGCGAGAGAGAGAGGGUGGGAGAGGCGUGCGAAUGUGGGAUGGAGAGGUGGGGCCGUUGGAGAGGUGCUGGCAGACGGCAAAGAGUUGAGUGGGGUCCAGUGGACACCGGCGCUGUAACGGUCCACCAGCCCCCAUCUCUUUUGACUGAUGGCAACCAGGUUCUUUGUCACCGGCGCUGUAACGGUCCACUAGCCCCAUCUCUUUUGACUGAUGGCAACCAGGUUCUUUGUCGUCUGUUUUUUGUAAGCAGAUGAUAAAGAUCUUUUUUGCCGUCUGUUAGCAGACGGCAAAGAGCUGGCUGACGGCAAAGAUCCCAAUUCCAGUAGUGUAACUUCUUGAUUCUUCUCUGAACAUUGCUUCUUCCUGUACUCUUAGAAAUGUAUUGGUGCAAGAGAAAUAGUAGUAGAUAUAUUAAAUAUCAUAUAUCUGCCAUCCUUG